CACUUUCAUCCUUCGACCUAAAACGUCGCCCACCUCUUCUCCUCAGCGGUUUCCCCAGUGGAGAAGGCGUCGUCGUCUUUCCCUUGUACGAUUUUGAGGGACGGAUCUGGUCACCACUGGGGAGGGGGCGAGGAUCCAUGGCGUUCUCAGCGGAGGCAGCGACCAUGCCCUCCGAGACGGCCACUGCCGCGUUGUCGGCGGGCCGGGGAAGCCUUCUCCACAAGUUUUCAUUCCCGAUCUUCAAGACGUGGGGUAAACAGCGGAUCCUUCGCUGCAUGAGCGUGGACGGCAAGGGCGAGGCCGUCGGCGGCGGCUCGGGAGGUGCGAGACCGUCCGAGGUGGAUGGCGAGGACGAGGAGGGGAUCGAGGACGUGAGAGAGAAGCUUUUGGUUCACGUACGGGAGGCGGCGGACCGGAUGAAGCUGGUAGUCCCGCCGCUUCCGCCGUCGCCGAGGGUUGUGAAGACCGUGACGGAAGCGGAUCGGCAGGCGGAGGAGGACGCCGACGCGGAGCCCGAGCCUUCGUCGUCCCCUGCGUCGCGACCUUGGAAGCUGAGGACUAGGCGCCGGGGUUCUAGGGCUCCUUCGGGGUUCGAGCCGCAAACGAGCGCGUCUCCUGAGACGGCGGCGGAGAAGAGGCCGGUGCGGCUGAGGUCGGGGAGCACGGAACGGAAAGAGCGGCCCAAGUUCUCGAUCACCCUCACGAGGGAGGAGAUCGACGAGGACAUCUAUUCGGUGACGGGCCACAGGGCCCGCCGGCGGCCCCGUAAGCGUCACCGCGUCGUCCAGAAGCAGCUCGAUUUGCUGUUCCCUGGUUCAUGGCUGUCGGAGAUCACCCACGACACAUACAAGGUCCCCGAUUAAAGGCAACCUCACCUCCUGCGGUGUGACUCCUUCCCCUCUUCUUUCCGCCAUCGCCAUUGAUUCAUCUCCAAAGUCUCCCACCUCCAUCGGUUCCCCAAAAGCGUAGCAGAUGACACAGCUUUUGUGUGACGGGUUACACUGCUGCUGACACUUUUACGUGCCAAGAAGCGUAGCAGACAUCAGAAUCAACUGUUCCUCGUGCAAGGACGGGGGUAAGGUGGAGGAGCGAGGAAGGUUUCGUGAGUCGAGAAGAAGGAAGACGAGGGUUUAAUGAAGGGGAACGGCGGUUGCCCGGUAGGUGGUUUCGCGGAGGUGACCAUGGCAUGGUCAGCGCAUGGACGUUGCCACCCGUCCCUUCCUCUGCGGUUCCUGUAUUUGCCUGAAUAAUACCACACACGAUUGGUAGAGCUCCUAUUGGUGCUUUUGGUGGGCCCCACAAGUAACGACCAAUAAACAUAGUAGACUUAACACGUGUCGAUGUAGGAACGUUUCACGGCCGUCCAGUUCUGGAGGGAGAGAAGAACCCAAUACUGCUGGGCCCAAGACAGGGCCCAGGGGUUUUAACCCAUUAGGUGGGUCUUGCAGAACACCGCCUUUUGGGCCCCACAUCUUACGGCCGACUUUUCGGUCGAAUUAAUCAUAGUUAAGACGUGGGUUUGGUUAGGUUUAAGAACAGUUAAGACAUCUCUGUUCUUCGUGCUUUCCAUUUAAGCGCCUCUUUUGUUUCCACAAGUAGAUUAAUGACAGCAAAAUUAUUCAUGAUAUAAUUAACAUGAUCACAGAAACUCCUUUCGAGAGAGCAAACUCCAAAUUUUCCUAUGAUACAACAACAGUUAAAAAUCUAAUGAAGAAGAAGAAAAAAUUCUUCUCUCUUUGCUUUCCAGUUAAUCUUUCCACUACAUUUCUUGUCAUUAAUCUCUUCCAUAGCUUCACUCGGAUGAACACAUCUCGGCUGCUCUGAUUCUGCUCAAGUCAGAGGUUGCCCACAUUACGAAUCCUGAGGUGACUGAGUUCCUGAAAUUUCUUGUUUGUUGAAAAUAGAAUAAUAAAAUGUUGGAUUUUGCAGUCAGAAGGUUGUUUUUGUGGUAUGGCAGGAUCUUGAAUCUUUGACAUUGGUGGAAUCAGUAACCUUUGUCCUGUGAAUAAAAUCUACCUUUAGUUAGUAUUAUAGUUUGUAGCUCUUUCUGGAUGCAUUAUCAUUGCUUCAAAUUACUCACCUUACAGAGUUUGUAAUAGCAUUUAACAAGAAAAAAAUCCCAACAGGAUCUUGUGUCGAUGAACCUGAGGCUGGUAUCUGCCAUGUAUCAAGUUUGUA
Musa acuminata subsp. malaccensis (wild Malaysian banana) is the source of this 2178-nucleotide RNA transcript. RefSeq lists it as uncharacterized. Lineage: Eukaryota; Viridiplantae; Streptophyta; Magnoliopsida; Zingiberales; Musaceae. The record is from RefSeq and is a predicted model, not a curated record.